This 253-nucleotide ribosomal RNA is filed under the name uncultured bacterium. RNAcentral describes it as "partial 16S ribosomal RNA". It matches the Rfam family "Bacterial small subunit ribosomal RNA", at positions 524 to 776 of the family's 1533-position model. The record is from RNAcentral.
UACAGAGGCCCCAAGCGUUACCCGGAAUCACUGGGCGUAAAGGGUGUCCAGACGGCCAUAUUAGUCGUUCGUAAAAUCCACGGGCUUAACCUGUGGCUCGCGAACGAAACGGUAUGGCUUGAGGGUGGGAGAGGUGCGUGGAACUCACGGUGUAGGGGUGAAAUCCGUUGAUAUCGUGGGGAACACCAAAGGCGAAGGCAGCGCACUGGCCCAUUCCUGACGUUCACACACGAAAGCCAGGGUAGCGAACGGG